GACGAACGCUGGCGGCGUGCUUAACACAUGCAAGUCGAACGGAAAGGCCCUGCUUUUGUGGGGUGCUCGAGUGGCGAACGGGUGAGUAACACGUGAGUAACCUGCCCUUGACUUUGGGAUAACUUCAGGAAACUGGGGCUAAUACCGGAUAGGAGCUCCUGCUGCAUGGUGGGGGUUGGAAAGUUUCGGCGGUUGGGGAUGGACUCGCGGCUUAUCAGCUUGUUGGUGGGGUAGUGGCUUACCAAGGCUUUGACGGGUAGCCGGCCUGAGAGGGUGACCGGCCACAUUGGGACUGAGAUACGACCCAGACUCCUACGGGAGGCAGCAGUGGGGAAUAUUGCACAAUGGGCGGAAGCCUGAUGCAGCAACGCCGCGUGCGGGAUGACGGCCUUCGGGUUGUAAACCGCUUUCGCUUGUGACGAAGCGUGAGUGACGGUAAUGGGUAAAGAAGCACCGGCUAACUACGUG
Molecule: ribosomal RNA, 468 nt
Filed under: uncultured bacterium
Lineage: Bacteria
Description: partial 16S ribosomal RNA
Rfam family: Bacterial small subunit ribosomal RNA
Source: RNAcentral